GAAGACAUGAGACUUUUUGAAAUCACUAAGACAGAAAGUGUAACCAGAGAAGACAUUUACAAAAGAUUCCUGGAGCAAUCAGAAUUUAUAGAUUUAGUUUAGAAAUCUGUUUAGGAAUAGAUGAUGCAGAAAAAAGGAAAUUCUUUUAGCAGCCAAGUCCAAGAGAAGGAGAGCAAGAUGGGAUCCAGGGCACGAGUUUACCAGGGCCUGAGACUACGGAUAUAGGUUUUCUGGCUCCUAUAAUUUAUGAUUUUGCGCUGGGGAAGCAGAAAGACCGAACGUUCCAGUCUGACGUGGGGAAGCACUAAGGGCCUCCUUCUGUUCUGAUGGAGAAACCAUUUUCCCGUGAAGCACGUGCAGGACUUCACCUCCUUCCUGCUGGGUCCACAUGCAGUGUUGGGAACACCACACAACUCAGAGAGCCCAUGUGAAGGCCCUUUGUGAAGAGCUGUGCCUACUGCAAACCCAUUUCUUAACCUACUUCCAGUCGUAUCUUUCACCACAUAACAUUUUAUUUCUUAUUCGCCCAGGAGGAAAUAGAAGUCUUGGGUUAGACAGAAUGGCCUGGUUUAUGGCUUAAUUACACUGCCCCCAAGUGUGAGUUCCUGAGGAUCUACCGCUGGGGUGACCAUCCGUCCCAGUUUGCCCAACACUGAAGGGGUUUUCCAGGACAAGAGACUGCAGUGCUAACACAAGGAAAAUCCACGGCAAAUUGAGAGGAAUUGGUCACCCCACCUACCACAUCUGUGUCAAAGAUAUAGCCUUCACUGCUUUUCUAAGGAUAAACACCCCUGGACGCCAUACUUCUUUUCUUGGUGGGGAGGUGAGAACAGUGCUGAUUCUGUGCCUGUGUAAACAAGGGAGACCUCACGCUAGCUGGCCUGGACAGGGCGAAUGAACCUCAAGAAGAAUUGCCAACCAGACAUUUUCAUUCCAUCGAGCUGCCCCAAAUUUUAUUUUGGGUGUUUUACUUCUAGAAAUCAUCAUCGGCAUUAUUUUUUGGCCAUUUGGAGAGCAGCAAAGAAUAAAGUUUUCCUAAUCUAACUUUUCUGUACUAUUUGGCUAACUUUCCUUUUCACGCAAAAUUAAAAUUUUGCUGUUAGAUAGGAUUCUAAUCAUUAGGGA
This 1125-nucleotide long non-coding RNA is filed under the name Equus caballus (horse). Its description in RNAcentral is "lncRNA (ENSECAG00000046588.1)". Lineage: Eukaryota; Metazoa; Chordata; Mammalia; Perissodactyla; Equidae. The record is from RNAcentral.